AGGACGAACGCUGGCGGCGUGCUUAACACAUGCAAGUCGAGCGGAAAGGCCCUUCGGGGUACUCGAGCGGCGAACGGGUGAGUAACACGUGAGCAACCUGCCCUUAGCUCUGGGAUAGCUCCGGGAAACCGGAAUUAAUACCGGAUAUGACCUAGGCCGACAUCGGCCGUGGUGGAAAGUUUUUCGGCUAGGGAUGGACUCGCGGCCUAUCAGCUAGUUGGUGGGGUAAUGGCCUACCAAGGCGACGACGGGUAGCCGGCCUGAGAGGGCGACCGGCCACACUGGGACUGAGACACGGCCCAGACUCCUACGGGAGGCAGCAGUGGGAAUCUUGCGCAAUGGGCGAAAGCCUGACGCAGCGACGCCGCGUGGGGAUGAAGGCCUUCGGGUUGUAACCCCUUUCAGCAGGACGAAGCGAAAGUGACGGUACCUGCAGAAGAAGCGCCGGCUAACUACGUGCCAGCAGCCGC
Molecule: ribosomal RNA, 470 nt
Filed under: uncultured bacterium
Lineage: Bacteria
Description: SSU rRNA
Rfam family: Bacterial small subunit ribosomal RNA
Source: RNAcentral